UACGGAGGGAGCUAGCGUUGUUCGGAAUUACUGGGCGUAAAGCGUACGUAGGCGGCUAUUCAAGUCAGGGGUGAAAGCCUGGAGCUCAACUCCAGAACUGCCCUUGAAACUAGAUAGCUAGAAUCUUGGAGAGGCGAGUGGAAUUCCGAGUGUAGAGGUGAAAUUCGUAGAUAUUCGGAAGAACACCAGUGGCGAAGGCGACUCGCUGGACAAGUAUUGACGCUGAGGUACGAAAGCGUGGGGAGCAAACAGG
RNAcentral lists this ribosomal RNA (253 nucleotides) under uncultured bacterium. RNAcentral's name for it is "partial 16S ribosomal RNA". It matches the Rfam family "Bacterial small subunit ribosomal RNA", at positions 524 to 776 of the family's 1533-position model. The record is from RNAcentral.